Molecule: ribosomal RNA, 305 nt
Filed under: uncultured bacterium
Lineage: Bacteria
Description: bacterial SSU rRNA
Rfam family: Bacterial small subunit ribosomal RNA
Source: RNAcentral
UAUUGCCUACGGGGCGCAGCAGUGGGGAAUAUUGCACAAUGGGGGAAACCCUGAUGCAGCGACGCCGCGUGAGUAAAGAAGUAAUUCGUUACGUAAAGCUCUAUCAGCAGGGAAGAAAAUGACGGUACCUGAGUAAGAAGCCCCGGCUAACUACGUGCCAGCAGCCGCGGUAAUACGUAGGGGGCAAGCGUUAUCCGGAUUUACUGGGUGUAAAGGGAGCGUAGACGGUGCGCCAAGUCUGGAGUGAAAUGCAGCAGCUUAACUGCGGAACUGCUUUGGAAACUGGAGAACUAGAGUGUGGGAGG